UACGAAAUGGUGUAAUACCGCCACCGCUGGUCGGGAGGGAUCAUUGCACCAAUAUUUUGAUUCAAAUUAAUACUGUAUUUCAGGUAUCACAAGCACAUCGGUUAGGUUAAUCUCUCCGAUAUAUAUUCAUGAUAUAUAUAAAUACAGUAUAUUUAUUUAUAAUUACGUUUAAAUUCCAUCCAUCCAUGCAUCCAUUUUCUGAGCCGCUUCUCCUCACUAGGGUCGCGGGCGUGCUGGAGCCUAUCCCAGCUGUCAUCGGGCAGGAGGCGGGGUACACCCUCAACUGGUUGCCAGCCAAUCGCAGGGCACAGAGAAACAAACAACCAUUCGCCCUCACAGUCAUGCCUACGGGCAAUUUUAGAGUCUCCAAUGAAUGCAUGUUUUUGGGAUGUGGGAGGAAACCGGAGAAAACCCACGCAGGCACGGGGAGAACAUGCAAACUCCACACAGGCGGGGCCGGGGAUUGAACCCGGAUCCUCAGAACUGUGAGGCUGACGCUCUAACCAGUCUUCCACCGUGCCGCCUACGUUUAAAUUGAUAAACCAAUUUAAAAGAUAAUAAGGUCAACAGGCAGGCGCUCAGUGAAAAUGUCAUUUAUCCAGUCCAGCAACCCCGCCCAAAGAAGAUUGCUUUUGUUUUGUAAUUGGUGAUGAUAGAUAGACAAAAACGCAGCUUCACCUCAUACUACACAAACAAUUAUAUUUUCAGGUUUUUAUUGGACACAUGAUUUGACAGUAAUUUUAAUUUGUUUGUUUAUAUAUGUGUGUGUGUGUUUUGUUAAACCUGAUUUCCUUUUAAGACACAAGAGGAAUGUAGGCAACUUCACCUGCGCUGUCAAGUAUCCAGGUAUUUAUUGUACAGUCACACUGGUCGAAUUUUUGCCUAAAAAGUUACUGAAUCGAUUUCAAGCCACGAGAUCGUUUCGGGUAUAAUAGAAUAGAAUAGAAUCACCUUUUUUUUUGUCAUGAACGUGCAACACACGAAAUGUGUUCUCUGCAUUUAACCCAUCACAGUGAACACAUACACAUUCUUGAUAUGUACCUUAUGUGUCUGUCUAUGUAUCCUCUUCAUCUCAUCCGGAGACCCUGUUUAAUAAUUCACUUUUUCUCUUCCCUGCCAUUUAAUUGCGUCCUGUAUUGUUGGUUGCUUGACAAAGUGCCUGCAGAUAAUUGGGCUUAUUGGCGAUAUAAAAUAUAAAUAGUGAAUCAUUCUAGGCGUCAAUCCCUGGAUGAUCCAGUGAUAUCACAGUAGAUGUGAGUGAACAUAAGUACCAGUACAUGUCUGAUGUGUGCCUAUAAGAUCAACAUAAAUGAUUGUCGAACAAACACCAAAACGACAUGUGCUGGGAAGUUGAGUUGCAUCACAUCCACGGUAUGGCAACUCCCUUGGCUAGAAUUGGAAAUUAGUUUUAGUUUGAGAUAAAGCAGAUCGACUUUUCGGAAAGAGAGGGAGUUGGAGAGGAGCAGGGACAAAAUAUAAACUUUUAUGAGGCUAUCUUUCGAGAGAAGACAGUCGCUUCAAUAGAAGAGAUGAAUAGAGGUGUCCUGCAGAUAACUGCAAUCCAUCCCUUGGUUUAAUGAUUCAUGAAACAGUGGUUGAAAUUUCUUGAGAGGAAGAGAAUCUAUAGGACGUAUGUGAUAGAAUACAAAGAACUAUCUAGUCAUAAGGAACAGAAAGAGCGCGUAGGAAGAUAUGGUAAUUAUUUCCAUUUGAUCGAUUUAUGAAGGAUUUGAUGGUGCUCCUGGGGUUUAUCAAAGAGUUGAUGUUUUUUUGUUGUUGUUGUUGUUGUUGUUUUUUUUAACCCAGCCCUUAUUUUUACUUCUCAAUAACUUUAUCCCUGACUUGUUUGGAGAGUUCUUUGGUCUCCAUGGCUGUGUUUGGUGAGCGAUGCCUCUUGCUUUGGUGUUGCAGCCUUUGGGGACUUUCAGGAAAGGUUUAUAUAUACGCCGAAAGAUCAUCUAAUAUCUUGAGUUGUUCUGUUUUUUUAUUGGUUGUUUGAAUGCGUAGCGAUGAGGGAAAUAUCAGAGAUUUGACAUGAAAUGUGAAGUGGAGAAACCAAACGCAAAACAUUCAGUCAUGAAUUCGCAGGUUUGUUAUCACAGACAUUCACGAGCAAAGAUCGCGUCAUCUUUUGACGUUUCUAUUUUCAGCCCGUGUUAUAUCUUUGGCUGAUAAAAAUCCCUGCGAGAUCAUUUCCAGAGUAAACCAUCUGUCUGGGAAGAUGUUCUGUAAUGGAGCAUAUGACAGCUGUUUGUAGUGAGGGUUGACAUGAAAAAAAAGAGACGCUAACACGGAGCUGAUCGACAUUCAUUUGUGGUUCAAAUGAGCCUUGGAAAACAUUGACACGGGAUGAAAGAAAGCGAUUCAUCCAAACAGCCACCACGCACUGCAGUGCUGUUAAAGAAAUUCCCUGUUUGGAAGCUGUUGUUUGCUUAAAGUGAACAAAUGCAUAAUGAGUAAAAACGAAAGACUACAGGGAAUGAAAUGUUCAUUAUUGCACUUGCAGCAGAUAUUUGUCCAACGCAUGUACUGUAACAAAAUGCAUCAGCCUCGCGCAACCGUGAAAUAUUGCCGGAACAAAGCCAUCAUGGAUGCUUUUCAUUGUUUACCGUGCCAGGACGAAGAACAAUGACUGCUCUGAAAACAUAUUUGAAACGGAGUUAUUAGGGAUGGAUACUGAAAGAAAUCCCAAUGGACUUAGCUGGCUUCAGAGACGCAGAGGCGCAAUAUUUUCGGAUUUCAGGGAAAGACAUGAUUGGGGAUUUCAGAAGCUGUGCGAGUACGAUACAUAUAAAUGUGCAAAGAAAUAUUAUGCACGGGAGAAGCAGCUGGAUAACUAUUGCUUCUUCAGAAGGGCUACAUGUAUAAAAAGCAGUGGUGACACUCCAUGGGGGUCAGGGGGCGCAGCCGGCCGGAUCCAGCUGAUAAUGUUGUUUUUCCUUUCUUGCUAAUAUAUUCAUAUAUAUCUUUCUUAAUUUACUACAGUCACAAUUCAUUUGACAAACGACUAAGUGUUGUUUAAGUUAUCACCUCAUAAGCCAAGCCAAGUUUGCCAUUUGUACAGUCUAUUGAGUCUGACUAGUAUAGUGUUGCUUUUCCAUGUACAACUUGUAAAACGUCAAAGGGUUGUUAAUAACUGUAUUUUGUCAUCGUAAUCAAAAUAUAAUAAUGUGCUUUACUAUUUUUUUCUUGCACUUUACACAAGGGGUGGACGCAAUCAACACAAAGGAGGUGAAGGGAUAUAAAAAGUCUACACACCCCUGUUUUUGUGAAAUGAGACCAAAAGUCAAUGAGUUUAAAACUUUCCCCACCAUUAACGCGUGACAUAUAACCUUUACAACUCAGUUGAAAAUCAAAUAUUUGUGAGAGGAAGUAAAAAUAAACAAUGAGGCAAUGUGGUUGCAGAAGUGUGCACACCCUCUUAGAACUGGGGAUGUGGCUGUUAGGAAUUAAGUAACCUCGUUCAAACUUAUGUUAAAUGCAAGUCAUCGCACACUUGCCACCAUUUAACGCGCCUCUGAUUAACCCCAAAUAAAUUCCAGUUGUUCUAGUAGGCUUUUCCAGACGCUUUUUGCAGUUACACCUUACAACACAAGCAAUGGUCUGCGUAGAUCUUCUGCAGGAUCAGAAGGGCCUCCAAGAAAUUAGUUAGAGGCCAGCUAUGCGACGGCUAUAUGUGUAUGUUUAACGUUAAAAAAAAAAAAAAAAAAAAAAGUAGCAGCAAUAUGGAAUAAGUAUUGAUGUUAUUGUUAUUAAGUUGAGCGCAGUAAUAUAAAGAAAUGUGGAAAAAGCGAAACGGUAAUUGUAAAAAAGUCCCGGAUGCACUGUUGUAGUACUACUGGUUUUGACUUUAGCCCUAUAGGAUCUUGAGGUACAGAUUUAGACUCAUGAUGAUGUCUCCGUCUAUUGCUGACAGUUUGAGUAAUAGGCUCUGACUGAAAAUAGAUUUUGACAGAUCCUCUUCAGGAGGGAUGAGGGAAGAGAGAGAGAGAGAGAGAGAGAGAAAACUUCCCAGUAAAACAAGGAUGUAAAUGAGGGGACAAUUAAAAGAAGGUCGCUCCCACUUUAGCCACCCCUCCCCUGCAGCUCACGUUGCGUGGAUGACGUCAAAGACGCCUUUACAAAAAAGAUGCCGGACCUCGCCGAGAAGCGCAAAACCGCCAGCGCGUGGAUUACAUUGCAGCACGGGGGAAAUGGCAGCAAGACGGGAUCGUGGCGUGAAGCGGCAAAUAAGAGCGCUCCGUUGACAGAGACUGGGGGGACUGUGAGGAAUUGCAAAGCGAUGUGAAGUCACCCAAAGUGCGGCCGAGCUCUCAUGCAUGGACGCCAGGAUGUUCUCGGGCCAGGCGGCUCUCAACUUCAGCUGCCGCAACCUGAGCGACGACCCGCGCGCCGACGCCGAGGCGCGCCUGUCGUCCGCGGGCUUCGCGGUGCUCUCCGUGGUGCUGGGCUUCAUCAUGACUUUCGGCUUCCUCAACAACCUGGUGGUGCUGCUGCUCUUCUGCAGGUUCAAGAAGCUGCGCACGCCCGUCAACAUGCUGCUGCUCAACAUCAGCGUGAGCGACAUGCUGGUGUGCGUGUUCGGCACCACGCUCAGCUUCGCCGCCAGCAUCCGCGGACGCUGGCUGCUCGGACCGGGCGGCUGCAGCUGGUACGGCUUCAUCAACUCCUGCUUCGGUAUCGUGUCGCUGAUUUCUCUGGUGAUCCUCUCUUACGACCGCUACAGCACUCUUACCGUGUACAACAAGCGUGGUCCCGACUACCGCAAGCCCCUGUUGGCCGUCGGGGGCUCAUGGCUCUACUCUUUGUUCUGGACGGUGCCGCCGCUCUUGGGUUGGAGCAGCUACGGCGUGGAAGGAGCCGGAACCAGCUGCUCGGUGUCCUGGACGGUCCGGACGACCCAGUCGCACGCCUACAUCAUCUGCCUCUUCAUCUUCUGCCUGGGGCUGCCUGUGCUGGUCAUGAUCUACUGCUAUGGCAGGCUGCUCUGGGCUGUCAAACAGGUGGGCAAGAUCCGCAAGACGGCAGCUCGAAGGCGCGAGUACCACAUCCUGUUCAUGGUCCUGACCACGGCCGCGUGCUACCUGCUGUGCUGGAUGCCGUACGGCGUGGUGGCCAUGAUGGCGACGUUCGGGCCGCCCGACAACAUCAGUCCCGUGGCCAGCGUGGUGCCGUCUCUGCUGGCCAAGAGCAGCACCGUCAUCAACCCGCUCAUCUACAUCCUCAUGAACAAGCAGUUCUACAGAUGUUUCCUGAUCCUGUUCCACUGCAACCACUGGUCGGGGAAGAACGGCAACACAUCAAUGCCCUCCAAGACCACCAUCCAGCUCAACCGACGGAUCUCCAGCAACACGGUGGCCUGCGCCGCCCACGUCUCCGACGACGCGCCCAAAGCGAGCGGCACGCCCGCCGUCAAGCAGACGCGACACGAAGUGGCAACGCUUGAGCUGUGAAGCUGCGCUUGCAAAGUGGACAGCAGAGGAAUUGGGAGGGUUCAUGUAUUUGACGUGAUCUUUGUAUUUGUGAUACAGAGUAGAUUCCAUUUGACUUCAGCAGCAUUUUGUCAUUUGUGUUUAUAAAGUGAUAAAUGCGACGACGACAACAACAAAAUAAGCAUUCACAAUAUCAUCUCCUGUACAGUAUGUGGACACUACAGAGGCUUUAUGCCCAAAGAAACUCUUGCCCUUGGUUUGGGGCGGUUGGGGAUUCACUUCAAAAUAGCAUAGUGCCAAACUGCCAAACCCACGUCAACCCCUAACAUACAACAACAACAAUCUCCUGCGUUAAAACCUCUCAGCAAUUUAUUCAAGAAGAGAAGCGAGGGUCAUGCCGGCAAACGGAGAAUGUGAGGAUCAUACUGAAGCGUCCGGAGCUAAGGCACAGGCUAGCAUUAGCAUGCGUGUUUUACAAUGGCGAAUGUGCUCGACCAAUGAGAGACCAAAAGCGUGCUCAUUUCUCAUGAAUGAUCUUGGUUGAAACUCUGCUACUAAUCAACACCUGUUUAAAUGUCACGUGCAAAAACAUUAGGCUUGUUAAAAGCAGCAAAACACGUGCACAUAAAUCCCCUUGUGUUCUUUAUUAGCAGCCAAUUGUCUAGCUACAAACUGAAAGGCCCAAAAAAAAAAAAAAAAAAAAGUGGGCCACAUGGUAGGUAGGUAGUUAGGGGUGCAGUUAUGCAACUAUAACAAAAAUCACGGUUCGAUACGUAACUUGGUUUGAAGUUUACGUUUUUGCUCAAAUUGGGGAUAGUAAGGGACAAACGACUACUCAUUUCGUGUGAACCCUUAACAGAUUUAGGGACAUUUAAAAUAAAAUAUCGACAGCUUGAAUCUUGUGUUUUCAGGAAAGUGCAACAUCAAUAGUUUUAGUCUUGUUUUUAGGGAAAUGAUGUAGACGAGAACAGUAUGAUCAGUACGAAUUAGUAUUUCGCUCGCUCGCUCGCUUGCUUUGCAUCGCUCGAGGCAGUUACAUUUCUUCCCCUUUACCUUAAGUUCUAUGUGGGAACCCCAAUAAUCACAUCAUUCCCUCUGCAUUUAAUUCCUAUUUUUAUGGCUAAUACAUUCUUGGGCCACAAAAUGAUGUGGCGGGCCAAAUCCGGCCCGCAGGCCUUCUUGUUGUCUUCAAUUAACCCAACGUGCAUGUGUUAGUAAUUUGGUAGGGGAAAAAAAUAAAAAUACACAAGAGGUUCUCAUCCAAGAUUCAGACCCGGGAGCCCUCGACUGCGAGGCAGAUAUGCUACCCGCUACCACCCCGCGUUGCCCGCAAUUUCCUUCAACGACCUUACAGCAAGUAGUAGAAAUAAUAGAGCAACAGCAGCAUGGUUUCGGUGGCGGCUUCCUUCCACAUUCCAAAAACAAAACGCAUGUUAGCUCAGCCAGCGAUGGAAAAUGGAUGCAGGAUUUUCCGUGCACAUGCUGAUGAUCUAUUCUGCCCCCAACUGCUGCAGAGUCUCUCUCUCUCUGGUGUUUAUUGUGGCUUAAAAAAAAACAACUUUUGCAGCCACCUUUUCCCCAGUUGGAACUGCUGUGUUCACAGGUCAAUGUCUUUUUGUUUCUUUCUGGAGAAACUUCUCCCAUCGGGGGUUAAAAUACAAAACACAUCAAACGUGCUUGUUCUCUCGAGUUGGCGGGAAUGAAAAUGCAUGAUUUAGAUUUUAAUGCAAAUGUUUAGAUGUGUUGAGAGUAGAUUUAGUUUUGUUGCAUGUUCAGUCAUGUUUUUCUGUGUCCCUUGUUCAUGUCUUGUCAAUUCGUAAAGUUUUCAUUUCCAACCGUUCCCAUCAGCCUUGUUCCUUGAGUCUACCAAUCAGCUCCCUCCAGUCCAGACUCGUGUCUUGUCCAGGUGUGCAUCGUCGUCUUGUCACCUCAACAACUUUAUCUGAAGAGCAACUUUAACCACAACCACAACCACAGCUGCACACAACAGUGGUGUACGCUACAUGAAAAAUCAAACAUAACAGCAGUUAAACAUAGGACCAAUAGAUGAACCAGAGUCAAUUUGUUUGUAUUUGGACGCCCGCUUUCUUGCAGUCUUGUCAGUUUAAUUUAUCCCAAGUUUCCCUGUAGUUAUUAGUGGCGAGUGUUUUGUUACUUAAAUUCUCGGUUUUGCAGGACUUUCGAUUCUUUCACGUGCCCCGGUUGCCUUUUUCUUUUUGAUAAUAAAUUCUUUUUUGGGCGGGGGGGAUUCAUCGUACACUCCUGCCUUGCCUCCAUGCUUCCCUGUGCUUGGACCCUCCACUUUUGCCUCCAACGCUAUUAAAACACAAAUACCUGACAGCAUCUAUGGGCAAAGAUUUAUGCGCCCGCUGGGCGGAAACAAAUCACCAAUCAGACAGCACAUGAACAAAACAACAUUGUUCAGCAUUUACUAUAUAAUCUAUAUCCUGCUCAUCUAAAAGAGGUUAUACAGCUUCUGAUACUAUAUUUUGAAAUAUUUUGAUUGAUAUUAUUUCAUUUGUAUUAAAUUUGUUCACGUCUUAUUCAAGGCAAUGUGGUGAAGGGUGAGGCGCCACUCUAGCGCCCUCUAUGGAUCAGGUGCCACUGGUAGAGUAUUUCCUAUACAUUUAAUACUUGCGAUACUUUAUUUUUGAAAGCCCGUUUACACAAGUUUUCAUGUGUUUUAAUAAGUGAAAAUGUGUUUAAAAGUAUGUGGGAGGGGCGAAAUGGCGACUUGUUAGCUGCAUUAGUGAGUGUGCUAAGCAGCUAACGGAGCUGUUAGCUGGCUACUGGCAGGCUACCAACGUUAGGGACCCAAGACGACUUGAGGAAAUGUUGACUAAAGCUGCUGUUCGGGUCCUGUCGUGUGUGCAGACUAGUUCUGGUCUUGUUGGGAGGACACGCCUGGCUCGACUAAAACCUGCUGUCGUUAUCUAGCUACGAGCCGGAGCCAAGCGGCCUCGUCUCGUUAGCUGUUUUGCUAGCAGGCGACUGUGAAUCACCGGCUGGCGGUGCAACGUCCAGCGGUAAUGUGAUUCGUAUUCAAUGUGGAUCUGCCAUAGCCACGUGUUGACCAUCGUGACUCUGACACAAGUUCGGAAGGAGCUCUAGACUGGAAAUCUGACCCUAGAACUACCUUCAGGCCGUGAAAGGAGUAGCAACUCAAACGGAGGAACAGGUAAACGCUUUGCUCCAAAACAAAAACACUGACAUCAUCAUGGGAAGCAAUGAACCUUGUCAUACACCGCCAUUUAGCAUUUUAGGAUGUCUUCUUCCACUCUUGACAUUCUUUCCAUGAACAUCUGUUUUGCAAAUGGGAAGCAUAAAGUUGAUCUACUUUGAGCUGCAGCGGAGGAAGCUCAAGCUUGCGUUCAUUUCAGUACACAAACCUGCCCAUUGUGCUGAUGUUUCAACAAGUUAAUCAACUUCUAUUUUGUUUUCUUCCAGCCGGUGUGUCAGCCACUAACACUUGUUCUCCCACGUAAACUAUUAAGAGCUUUCAUCUAUUCAUUUUAAUCCCUGCAGACGUGUGAAAAGAUCAGCGUGGACGUUGAUGAAUGAAAGUCGUGACAGAAUGCGGUCCAUCCGUUAAAUCAAAUGCGAAUCGCGUUAAACUGAGAGACAACAAAGAGGGACUCGCUGCUGCACGCAUCUUAAAGAGGUCACCGUCGAUGGCUUAGUUCCCGGAGAAUCACAGUAAUCACACAAACAAGCCGAUUUUUGAGCAGAUGGAAGACAAAGAAAUGCCUCCUUUUUCCAUCCAUCCAUCCAUCCAUCCAUCCAUCCAUCUUCUGAGCCGCCUAUCCUCACGCGGGUCGCGGGAGUGCCGGAGCCUAUCCCAGGAGGCGGGGUAUUUGUUUGUGAAUCCAUUAUUUAUGUUUGAAGAUAAUUGCUGAAAGCGUGCAAAGACUGAGAGCAACGUCAUUCUGAAUUGUGGAGUGAUAAGUGUUGAAGUGUUUUUCACCAUUUUAGUUAUCCUGAUUUUAAACGGCGCCCAAUGACGCACUUCGGCAUCUGGCAUGAAUCGCCCCUCCCCCAAUUGUUCUCUCCAUUUUUAGAUCUUACUUCUAAAGUGAGGCCUCAAUUAAUAAGACGAAAAAUAUUGAUUUCAUUUGUAGCGUGAGUGACAAUGUGCGCCUGUUAGUAUUCACCAAAUGAAAUUGCAACGUUUUGUUUCAGUCUACUCUGUUUCUGUGCUCUCGUGUAUUGAACAUCACUGACAAAUUGCCGCAAUGUAAAAUGCCGUGAGCGACUCUGUGGGCGUUUUCACUGUCGAGGAGUGAAAAUUGGACUGCUUAGUGCGACAGCCGCAGACAUAACGUCACCUACUGUGAGAGACAACUGCGAGAGUUUGACAUUCUGGGCUCUUUAAAGGAAACAAAUAUAUAGAUAUGAAAAAUGUGGCGAGGAGGAGCGAGCAGAACGCUCAUGUUGACUGCGAUGAUAGUAGACUGCCUACCGAGCGAACAGGUCUGCGGAUGAUGCAGUCAACAUUGGACUGCACGUCAUCCUAGAACACUCCACGCUUCUCCAGCUCAGCGUCUCGCCUGCCAUCUGCCAGCGGAUUUUCAGCUUCCCGACGGGCAGGACACAGCAAGUGAGGCUGGGGGACGCCACCUCAUCCACACGCAGCAUCAGCACUGGGGCACCCCAAGGUUGUGUCCUCUCCCCGCUGCUCUUCUCUCUCUACACGAACGACUGCACCUCGACGCACCCGGCUGUCAAACUCCCGAGUUUGCAGAUAAUACCACUGUCAUCGGCCUCAUCAAGGACGGUGACGAGUCUGCAUAUCGGCAGGAAGCGGGAGCGGCCGGAGCUUCCUUCAAGUUCCUGGGAAUUACAGUCUCUCGGGACCUGAAGUGGGCGAGCAACAUCAACUCCGUCCUCAAAAAGGCCCAGCGGAGGAUGUACUUCCUGCGGCUUCUGAGGACGCACGGCCUGCCACGGGAGCUGCUGAGGCAGUUCUACACAGCGGUCAUCGAAUCGGUCCCGUGUUCUUCCAUCACAGUCUGGUUCGGUGCUGCUACAAAAAAGGACAAACUCCGACUGCGACGGACAAUCAAAACUGCUGAAAGGAUUGUCGGUACCCCCCUACCCACCCUUGAGGACUUGCACGAUGCUAGAACUAAGACAAGAGCGUGCAAAAUCCUCUCCAACGCUCCGCAUCCCGGUCACCGGCUCUUCCGGCGCCUUCCCUCAGGUAGGCGCUACCGAUCAAUGCAAACUCGAACUAGCGGACAUUCCAACAGCUUCUUCCCUCUUGCGAUCAACUUCUUAAACAGCUAACCUACAUUUCCAUUACAACAUGCUGGCAAUUUUUGGUCUUUUUGUCUUGAGUUCGCCGUCACGUUUCUGUCGGACCAAUUAUGCAUUACUCGCGCACUCGCUGCGCUAGUCUCGCCACGCUGCAACUAUUUGCAUAUCUGUUGUCGACCAAUACUGGCCACUCAUGCCAGAGUAGCAUCUGCCCCACUUGCACACUGACUGAGGAGUAUCUGCAACAUUUGCACAAUCGACAUUGUCCCAGAUUACCGCGCUACUCGUCACUUUAAACUGCAUACACUCCUUCCCAAGUCUCGGCGCCCUUUUCACAAUGCUCAUUGCACCGGACUAUUGCGAGAUUAGUCAUUCGAACUGCUCUAAGUGCUAGAGGACUCUGCAUCUUUUUGCACAAUUGUCCAAAAUAAAUACAUAAAUAAAUUGAUAACUAGCAACCCUUUAUUGCUCAGUGACUGUUUUUCCUUAACGUCUUUAUGUUUCCAAAGUGUUCUCUGUCAAUUGGCUGACUGUUGUCGUACUAGAGCGGCUCCAACUACCGGAGACAAAAUCCUUGUGGGGUUUUUUUGUGGACAUACUUGGCAAAUAAAGAUUCUGCUUCUGA
RNA transcript from Phyllopteryx taeniolatus (common seadragon), 11313 nucleotides. It is a transcript of the gene named teleost multiple tissue opsin 2b, with no coding region annotated. Lineage: Eukaryota; Metazoa; Chordata; Actinopteri; Syngnathiformes; Syngnathidae. The transcript has 5 exons. The record is from RefSeq and is a predicted model, not a curated record.